Molecule: non-coding RNA, 24 nt
Filed under: Arabidopsis thaliana (thale cress)
Lineage: Eukaryota; Viridiplantae; Streptophyta; Magnoliopsida; Brassicales; Brassicaceae
Source: RNAcentral
AGGCCAACCGCGUGCGGUAACACA